RNAcentral lists this unclassified non-coding RNA (170 nucleotides) under uncultured Hyaloscyphaceae. RNAcentral's name for it is "sequence contains ITS1". Lineage: Eukaryota; Fungi; Ascomycota; Leotiomycetes; Helotiales. The record is from RNAcentral.
CAGAGUUCAUGCCCUACACAGGUAGAUCUCCUACCCUUUGUUAUUAUUACCUUCGUUGCUUUGGCGGGCCAUCAGGCCUCGGUCAGGCUACCGGCUCCAGCUGGUAAGCGCCCGCCAGAGGGCCCCAAACUCUGAAUAUUAGUGUCGUCUAAGUACUAUAUAAAUAGUUA